GAGGGGUAAGGUAGCAAUAUCUGAGACCGGCGCACGGGUGCGUAACGCGUAUGCAAUCUACCUUUUACAGAGGGAUAGCCCAGAGAAAUUUGGAUUAAUACCUCAUAGCAUAGCAACUUCGCAUGAAGUCACUAUUAAAGUCACAACGGUAAAAGAUGAGCAUGCGUCCCAUUAGCUAGUUGGUAUGGUAACGGCAUACCAAGGCAACGAUGGGUAGGGGUCCUGAGAGGGAGAUCCCCCACACUGGUACUGAGACACGGACCAGACUCCUACGGGAGGCAGCAGUGAGGAAUAUUGGACAAUGGGCGCAAGCCUGAUCCAGCCAUGCCGCGUGCAGGAAGACGCAUCUAUGGUGUGUAAACUGCUUUUGUACGGGAAGAAACACCUCUACGUGUAGAGGCUUGACGGUACCGUAAGAAUAAGGAUCGGCUAACUCCGUGCCAGCAGCCGCGGUAAUACGGAGGAUCCAAGCGUUAUCCGGAAUCAUUGGGUUUAAAGGGUCCGUAGGCGGUUUAAUAAGUCAGUGGUGAAAUCUGGUCGCUCAACGAUCAAACGGCCAUUGAUACUGUUAGACUUGAAUUAUUAGGAAGUAACUAGAAUAUGUAGUGUAGCGGUGAAAUGCUUAGAUAUUACAUGGAAUACCAAUUGCGAAGGCGGGUUACUACUAAUGGAUUGACGCUGAUGGACGAAAGCGUGGGGAGCGAACAGGAUUAGAUACCCUGGUAGUCCACGCCGUAAACGAUGGAUACUAGCUGUUCGGAGCAAUCUGAGUGGCUAAGCGAAAGUGAUAAGUAUCCCACCUG
RNAcentral lists this ribosomal RNA (803 nucleotides) under uncultured Bacteroidota bacterium. RNAcentral's name for it is "bacterial SSU rRNA". It matches the Rfam family "Bacterial small subunit ribosomal RNA", at positions 64 to 875 of the family's 1533-position model. Lineage: Bacteria; Pseudomonadati; Bacteroidota. The record is from RNAcentral.